RNAcentral lists this ribosomal RNA (253 nucleotides) under uncultured bacterium. Its description in RNAcentral is "partial 16S ribosomal RNA". It matches the Rfam family "Bacterial small subunit ribosomal RNA", at positions 524 to 776 of the family's 1533-position model. The record is from RNAcentral.
UACGUAGGGGGCAAGCGUUGUCCGGAUUUAUUGGGCGUAAAGAGCGUGUAGGCGGCCAGGUAGGUCCGUUGUGAAAACUCGAGGCUCAACCUCGAGACGCCGAUGGAAACCAUCUGGCUAGAGUCCGGAAGAGGAGAGUGGAAUUCCCGGUGUAGCGGUGAAAUGCGCAGAUAUCGGGAAGAACACCCGUGGCGAAGGCGGCCUUCUGGACGGUGACUGACGCUGAGGCGCGAAAGCGUGGGGAGCAAACGGG